UUUAUGGAGAGUUUGAUCCUGGCUCAGGAUGAACGCUGGCGGCGUGCCUAAUACAUGCAAGUCGAGCGAACGGACGAGAAGCUUGCUUCUCUGAUGUUAGCGGCGGACGGGUGAGUAACACGUGGAUAACCUACCUAUAAGACUGGGAUAACUUCGGGAAACCGGAGCUAAUACCGGAUAAUAUUUUGAACCGCAUGGUUCAAAAGUAAAAGACGGUCUUGCUGUCACUUAUAGAUGGAUCCGCGCUGCAUUAGCUAGUUGGUAAGGUAACGGAUUACCAAGGCAACGAUGCAUAGCCGACCUGAGAGGGUGAUCGGCCACACUGGAACUGAGACACGGUCCAGACUCCUACGGGAGGCAGCAGUAGGGAAUCUUCCGCAAUGGGCGAAAGCCUGACGGAGCAACGCCGCGUGAGUGAUGAAGGUCUUCGGAUCGUAAAACUCUGUUAUUAGGGAAGAACAUAUGUGUAAGUAACUGUGCACAUCUUGACGGUACCUAAUCAGAAAGCCACGGCUAACUACGUGCCAGCAGCCGCGGUAAUACGUAGGUG
Molecule: ribosomal RNA, 550 nt
Filed under: Staphylococcus aureus
Lineage: Bacteria; Bacillati; Bacillota; Bacilli; Caryophanales; Staphylococcaceae
Description: bacterial SSU rRNA
Rfam family: Bacterial small subunit ribosomal RNA
Source: RNAcentral